UACGGAGGAUGCGAGCGUUAUCCGGAUUUAUUGGGUUUAAAGGGUGCGUAGGCGGGAUGCCAAGUCAGCGGUAAAAAUGCGGUGCUCAACGCCGUCGAGCCGUUGAAACUGGCGUUCUUGAGUGGGCGAGAAGUAUGCGGAAUGCGUGGUGUAGCGGUGAAUGCAUAGAUAUCACGCAGAACUCCGAUUGCGAAGGCAGCAUACCGGCGCCCUACUGACACUGAGGCUCGAAAGCGUGGGGAGCAAACAGG
RNAcentral lists this ribosomal RNA (251 nucleotides) under uncultured bacterium. RNAcentral's name for it is "partial 16S ribosomal RNA". It matches the Rfam family "Bacterial small subunit ribosomal RNA", at positions 524 to 776 of the family's 1533-position model. The record is from RNAcentral.